Molecule: ribosomal RNA, 253 nt
Filed under: uncultured bacterium
Lineage: Bacteria
Description: partial 16S ribosomal RNA
Rfam family: Bacterial small subunit ribosomal RNA
Source: RNAcentral
UACGGAGGGAGCUAGCGUUGUUCGGAAUUACUGGGCGUAAAGCGCGCGUAGGCGGCUUUGUAAGUUAGAGGUGAAAGCCCGGAGCUCAACUCCGGAACUGCCUUUAAGACUGCAUCGCUUGAAUCCGGGAGAGGUGAGUGGAACUGCGAGUGUAGAGGUGAAAUUCGUAGAUAUUCGCAAGAACACCAGUGGCGAAGGCGGCUCACUGGCCCGAUACUGACGCUGAGGCACGAAAGCGUGGGGAGCAAACAGG